AUUGGGACUUGGAGGCGCAGAAGCGUGCAAUCAAAAACAUCGCCUUUGGAGAUAAUGUACUCAGAUGCCGGGGUGCUGAGUUGCUCACCUUUGCAAUGAACAGAAGAUGCUGUCAGACUUGCUGACCAGCAAUUUUUGUUUUUGUUAAAGGACAAACAACCAUAAUUUGAUUCACAUCUAGGACCAAGCUUCUGCAUCUUGACUAAUCUACAAAUCAAAAACUGGUUAUGGAAAUUGGAGACAGUUCAAGUCUUCAUUUGAAAGUUUAAAAGAAGAAUUUGCAUAUAGCACCUUUCUUGAGCUCAAGAUAUCCUGUUACAGCCAAAGUAUUUUGAAGUCUAACCACUGUUGUAAUAUAAAGAAAGAUAACCUCCAUUUUAACUUUGACUAUAAGUACAUAAGUCUCCCAAAUUGUAACAAGACGAAAUAUGCAUCUUCGACGUUUGCUUCAGAGUAAAUACUAAAACAAUAAAAAGAGUGGCGAUUA
Carcharodon carcharias (great white shark) is the source of this 487-nucleotide long non-coding RNA. RefSeq lists it as uncharacterized. The transcript has 2 exons. The record is from RefSeq and is a predicted model, not a curated record. Lineage: Eukaryota; Metazoa; Chordata; Chondrichthyes; Lamniformes; Lamnidae.